This 920-nucleotide ribosomal RNA is filed under the name uncultured bacterium. RNAcentral describes it as "bacterial SSU rRNA". It matches the Rfam family "Bacterial small subunit ribosomal RNA", at positions 9 to 904 of the family's 1533-position model. The record is from RNAcentral.
GAGUUUGAUUAAGGCUCAGNCCUUNCGCGUGGCGGUAUGCUUAACACAUGCAAGUCGAACGANANAGCACCUUCGGGUGUGAGUAGAGUGGCGCACGGGUGAGUAACACGUAGGUGACCUACCUUAUAGUGGGGGAUAACUCCGAGAAAUUGGAGCUAAUACCGCAUACGAUAAACGACAUUGAAAAAGUUUAUGAAAGAGUGCCUCUCCUUGGAAGCACUUGCUAUUAGAUGGGCCUGCGGAGCAUUAGCUUGUUGGUGGGGUAAUGGCCUACCAAAGCGACGAUGCUUAUCUGAUCUGAGAGGAUGAUCAGACACACUGGAACUGAGACACGGUCCAGACUCCUACGGGAGGCAGCAGUGGGGAAUAUUGCGCAAUGGACGAAAGUCUGACGCAGCAAUACCGCGUGGGUGAGGAAGGUUUUCGGAUCGUAAAACCCUGUUAAUGUGGAAAAACGGCGCAGUAUCUAAUAGGUAUUGCGAGUGAUGGUACACAUAGAGGAAGCACCGGCUAACUUCGUGCCAGCAGCCGCGGUAAUACGAAGGGUGCAAGCGUUGUUCGGAUUUAUUGGGCGUAAAGCGCGCGCAGGCGGAUUAUUAAGCCAGAUGUGAAAUCUCGGGGCUCAACCCCGAAACUGCGUCUGGAACUGGUAGUCUAGAAUCAUGGAGAGGAAAGGGGAAUUUCGCAUGUAGGGGUAAAAUCCGUAGAGAUGCGAAGGAACACCGGAGGCGAAGGCGCCUUUCUGGCCAUGUAUUGACGCUGANGCGCGAAAGCGUGGGGAGCAAACAGGAUUAGAUACCCUGGUAGUCCACGCCGUAAACGAUGUGCACUAGAUAUUGGAGGAUUGACCCCUUCGGUGUCGUAGCUAACGCGUUAAGUGCACCGCCUGGGGGAGUACGGUCNCNAGACUAAAAACUCCA